CCAUAAAAAGACAUUUUGCCGAUUUUGAAUUGAAAGCGGCGACGGCAUAAUUAAUCAUGUGAUAUCAAAGUAAUCCAAAGAUCCACAUACAUAUCAGGAACAGAAAAACAAGGACUACUUCAAUACAGCGUAUUCGGCCUGGAUCACAGCCAAUCUAGGGAUCUUGGUCUAAAUCGUAUGAAAGAAAGACCCCGCCAGCGUACUAACAAGUCAAUGCAGUUGUAUUCCGUACAGCCUGUGCAAUGUGGGGAGUACCAGAGAGCAAGCAAGGAAACAAACAUCAAAAAUAAGAGGUUGUGUGUAUAGAGCUGGAGGCCCCAACGUAGCCCAAGAAGAGCCCUGUAAAAGAAGAAAACCGGAAAGAAAAAUGACACUCAAAAAAAGGGUGAAAAAGAGUGGACUGAAAUGCGUCAAUACGUCCACCAAACACUCCAACCUUCACAACAAAAUAUUCUCUCAAAAUCAUGUCUAAUUUUUGCUUUCCAAAUCACUCUCCUUCACCGCGAACCCUUUUAGCCGCACGCGGCAUAUCAAAAAAUAAAAUUCAAUCACUGCACCCAAUUGUAUACAUGUAGUAUAGCAUGCGCGCGACCCGGGAGGCCGCCAAUAAUGAAAAAAGAAAAGAAAAAACACACGAACAACAAGGUACUAAUUUUCACCACGACUCCUCCUCCGCAUGGAAGACCUGGUAUGAAGCUCGAACGACUCACCCCUCUCCAGUUCAUCCUCGACCGCAGAAUCUGAAGAUUUAAAUAUCCCACCGCCCUCUCCAGACGCUGGCGUAACCGUUACAUCACUGUCUCCAUAGCCGUGCGCUCCACCCACACUCUCCAUGGUGAAGGGGCUGGCAGUAGGCGCAUCGAGCGCGACAAGCUCGUCCUGUGUGAACCAGCGUGGAAGCAAAAACGUCCGAACAGGGAUGAGAAUGAGGAUGAACACGGGGAACCCAAUGGCCGCAAUCGUUUGCGUUAUGGCGAAGGUUGCGCCAAACCCGACAAGCUCAAUACCCACAAAUGCCC
This 1019-nucleotide small RNA is filed under the name Histoplasma capsulatum. RNAcentral describes it as "hypothetical RNA". RNAcentral also lists the same sequence under 1 other name. Lineage: Eukaryota; Fungi; Ascomycota; Eurotiomycetes; Onygenales; Ajellomycetaceae. The record is from RNAcentral.